GACGAACGCUGGCGGCGUGCUUAACACAUGCAAGUCGAACGGUGACCCAGGGCUUGCCCUGGUGAUCAGUGGCGAACGGGUGAGUAACACGUGGGCAACCUGCCCCUGACUUCGGAAUAACUCCUCGAAAGAGGAGCUAAUACCGGAUACGACCACUUCGGACAUCCGAUGGUGGUGGAAAGUUUUUCGGUCAGGGAUGGGCCCGCGGCCUAUCAGCUAGUUGGUGGGGUAAUGGCCUACCAAGGCGACGACGGGUAGCCGGCCUGAGAGGGCGACCGGCCACACUGGGACUGAGACACGGCCCAGACUCCUACGGGAGGCAGCAGUGGGGAAUAUUGCGCAAUGGGCGAAAGCCUGACGCAGCGACGCCGCGUGAGGGAUGAAGGCCUUCGGGUUGUAAACCUCUUUCAGCAGGGACGAAGCGAAGUGACGGUACCUGCAGAAGAAGCACCGGCUAACUACGUGCCAGCAGCCGCGGUAAU
Molecule: ribosomal RNA, 482 nt
Filed under: uncultured bacterium
Lineage: Bacteria
Description: bacterial SSU rRNA
Rfam family: Bacterial small subunit ribosomal RNA
Source: RNAcentral